GAUGAACGCUGGCGGCGUGCCUAAUACAUGCAAGUCGAGCGAACGGACGAGAAGCUUGCUUCUCUGAUGUUAGCGGCGGACGGGUGAGUAACACGUGGAUAACCUACCUAUAAGACUGGGAUAACUUCGGGAAACCGGAGCUAAUACCGGAUGAUAUUUUGAACCGCAUGGUUCAAAAGUGAAAGACGGUCUUGCUGUCACUUAUAGAUGGAUCCGCGCUGCAUUAGCUAGUUGGUAAGGUAACGGCUUACCAAGGCAACGAUGCAUAGCCGACCUGAGAGGGUGAUCGGCCACACGGGAACUGAGACACGGUCCAGAGUCCUACGGGAGGCAGCAGUAGGGAAUCUUCCGCAAUGGGCGAAAGCCUGACGGAGCAACGCCGCGUGAGUGAUGAAGGUCUUCGGAUCGUAAAACUCUGUUAUUAGGGAAGAACAUAUGUGUAAGUAACUGUGCACAUCUUGACGGUACCUAAUCAGAAAGCCACGGCUAACUACGUG
Molecule: ribosomal RNA, 497 nt
Filed under: uncultured bacterium
Lineage: Bacteria
Description: partial 16S ribosomal RNA
Rfam family: Bacterial small subunit ribosomal RNA
Source: RNAcentral